GAAAACUCGAUGCCAACAUGUGAAAGCUAAGACAUUAUUUGAAAAUUAUAUAUCUUAUACAUGGUUUUAUAUAGUUACUAAUCAAGGAGAGGAAGAAGCGGGAGGCAUUCCAGGGAUGAGAGGUACAGGUGGUAAUGGGAAUGCAGGUAAUGGAGGGAUUGUUGGGAAUGGAGGUAAUGGAGGGAUUGUUGGGAAUGAUGGUGGUGGUGGAGAUGGUGGAGUCAAACCUGGUAAUGGGGGUAAACUUGGAAUCAAUGGUGCUGGUGGAGGCUGGAAUGGGUUUGGGAUGAGUGGAGGUGGGCUUGGCAGAAGAGGGUUUGGAGGCAAAAGUGAUGGUGGAUUGAGAGGGUUUGGUGGGAAGAAAAAAUCUGGUUGG
RNAcentral lists this long non-coding RNA (376 nucleotides) under Fragaria vesca (wild strawberry). Its description in RNAcentral is "long non-coding RNA (FVES_LNC003308)". Lineage: Eukaryota; Viridiplantae; Streptophyta; Magnoliopsida; Rosales; Rosaceae. The record is from RNAcentral.